GACGAACGCUGGCGGCGUGCUUAACACAUGCAAGUCGAACGGUAAGGCCCUUCGGGGUACACGAGUGGCGAACGGGUGAGUAACACGUGGGUGAUCUGCCCUGCACUUCGGGAUAAGCCUGGGAAACUGGGUCUAAUACCGGAUAGGACCACUGCCUGCAUGGGUGGUGGGGGAAAGCUUUUGCGGUGUGGGAUGGGCGCGCGGCCUAUCUGCUUGUUGGGGGGGUGGUGGCCUACCCAGGCGACGACGGGUAGCCGGCCUGAGGGGGUGACCGGCGACACUGGGACUGAGAUACGGCGCAGACUCCUACGGGAGGCAGCAGUGGGGAAUAUUGCACAAUGGGCGCAAGCCUGAUGCAGCGACGCCGCGUGAGGGAUGACGGCCUUCGGGUUGUAAACCUCUUUCAGCACCGACGAAGCGCAAGUGACGGUAGGUGCAGAAGAAGGACCGGCCAACUACGUGCCAGCCGCCGCCGUAA
This 478-nucleotide ribosomal RNA is filed under the name uncultured bacterium. Its description in RNAcentral is "partial 16S ribosomal RNA". It matches the Rfam family "Bacterial small subunit ribosomal RNA", at positions 28 to 523 of the family's 1533-position model. The record is from RNAcentral.